Molecule: ribosomal RNA, 253 nt
Filed under: uncultured bacterium
Lineage: Bacteria
Description: partial 16S ribosomal RNA
Rfam family: Bacterial small subunit ribosomal RNA
Source: RNAcentral
UACGGAGGGAGCUAGCGUUGUUCGGAAUUACUGGGCGUAAAGCGCGCGUAGGCGGCCAUACAGGUCAGCUGUGAAAACUCGAGGCUCAACCUCGAGACGUCGGUUGAAACCGUAUGGCUAGAGUCCGGAAGAGGAGAGUGGAAUUCCCGGUGUAGCGGUGAAAUGCGUAGAGAUGUGGAGGAACACCGAUGGCGAAGGCAGCCCCCUGGGUCAAGAUUGACGCUCAUGCACGAAAGCGUGGGGAGCAAACAGG